UGUGUUUUGUGGAUCUGAGGGUUUUAAUCUUUUGUCCGCCUCUAAUUUUUUUGCCAUCCAAUGCCGCUUCUAAGAAAGUCUGAGUUUGGAAAGUUGUGAAGUAGCUUCAGCUCAGUACGUCAGCAUGGUUUAAACUUGCAAACCAAGCUGUGAGCACAGUUUCUUUGUUCUGCUAGGAAGAGCCCAAGAGAAAGGGAGGGAGAGGACAUCAGGCAACAAUGAACUCCUUCAUUGCUGGAUGAAGCAGCCGACAUGUUGCUGGUACCUGCAGCACUUACAGGGUUAAGAACAAUUUUUACUUUCUUUUGUCCCUACAGUAAAUUUAGAAAAGUACUCACUUUGCCUGAGCAAUAUCUUGUAGGUGACGUCAGUGCCAUAGGGGCUUACAACCUGCCCAAACUCAUUCAUCAGUAAAGCCACUGCUAGAAGGAGACUGGGGGUUUCCUUCUUACAGGAAUGAAGAGCUAAUGUUUUCAAAGGACAAUGGUUAAAUAAUACUCGUGGAUCCACAGCAGUGAGGACUAAGCCAUUUUACUUCAUCUAAAUAACAUAAAUCAUUUUUGGAUGAAGAAAACUUUGUUAAUACUCAAAGUGCAUGCAAUGGAUGCAUUAAAAGUUCCUAAAUGAAACUUCUCAAAGUUUUGGCCAGUUCAUCAUGGGCUUACUUCAAAAGAUAUACAGAGACUUUGCUGUGUGCUUUUCUCACCCAUGGAUAUAGUAUCUCUGCCAAAUGAUCGUGGAUAUACAAUAACGUUAUUUUAUGGAAUAAAAAGAAGGCUGCACACAAAUUUGCUUAUGGAAAAAUGAAGAUAACCAAGUUUGCUAAAACUUGUUAAAGGAUAAGAGACCACCCAGUCUGUACCACCGGCAUCUGGAUGAAAUUGACACUUUCGGAGGGGGAAGCUCACAAUGAGAAAAUCCUACCCAGAGGCCCUGUGUCUUCUUUUGAACUGAAUUCCUUUGAUGAUAUAUGUUCUCACUGAGAAUUAAACACAAAAAGGACUCUGAUAAACACAUUUCAUUACUGCUAUGAUGAGAGAUUCGCAGAAUGAAAAAGGACGCGGCCACGUGGUACUGAGACAAACAGGAAACACGAGUCUAUUUCAGUUAUUAUGUGCCUUAAAUAAAACAACAGAGCGAUGAUUUCAUCAUGAAUGGCCAACUUUCCUUGCAGUGUCAGGUUAUGACGGAUUAUUUUCUCACGAACUGACUAACUGACUGAACUGUGGGAGGAACAAGAGAACAACUUUGGCUCAAACCCCAGUAAAAAGUUGGCUGUGCAGAGACAAUCAGUCUACAGAAACUAGUUGGAUUCUCAGGCAGCUUAAAUUGGUGGAGGAGGAAGGAGAUAUAACCUUGACCUGACUGUGAGAUGGGAAUGAGAGCCAGCACCUCUGAUAGCCCCUGGGCUUUUAUCUUCCUACUCUAAAUAGCUUUUAAAUUAAAAUAAAUAUUUAAUGUUAUCUUUUGCUUUUGCUUAGAAUUUUACAAAGUGUAUGUGACAACAUUGUUAAACCUACAGGCAAAGAAACUGAAUGCAACAUGUUUACCCCUUCAUGGCUGCAUGGAUUAGCAUCCUCUCCAUACACACAAUGCUGCAUGCAAUAUGUACAUACGUUGGAUUUUUUUUUUCUUACUUGAUCUGUGCAAUCGGAACUGAUGGAUGGGUUUGGGUGUGCAUUGUUUACCUAUGUACUAUGCACUUUCUGGAAUCUUUAAUAAGGGGAACUAAACCAAAAUGUUUUGCAGUGAAACGUAAAAAUAUCUAAUAACUUGCCUGAGAAAAAUAAAUAAGGACUAAUAAAUAAUAAUUUAAUGUCAUAUCAUUCA
Long non-coding RNA from Xenopus laevis (African clawed frog), 1830 nucleotides. RefSeq lists it as uncharacterized. The record is from RefSeq and is a predicted model, not a curated record. The transcript has 5 exons. NCBI's taxonomy places the organism in Eukaryota, Metazoa, Chordata, Amphibia, Anura, Pipidae.